CAUUGUAUUUCACCCCAUUGUCUGUGACUGUAGAAUAAAUCCAGAAUAAGCAGUACUGGCUUUAAUGAAGAUAUACCAGAUUUUCACUGCAGCUGCCAAAGCUGAAUAGUGGCUGGUUUGUGUCCAGUGAAGAACAAACUUGGGAUAAAUGGAACAGCUGCACAAAGAUGUUCAACAUAAUAGGUCUGAUCCUGCUGUGCAAAUUCCUGCUGCGGUCAUGGAGAAUUUCAGGGUAUGGAAGCCAUAUGGACUCUGUGUGAUACAAGUGAUUCUUUAAGUACAGGUCACUACUUUGUUUCCUUUAAUUUCUGUAGACAAACAAAACUGGGAAGUUUUCAGUGCCAAAUGACACCAACCCAAUUUCACCAUGUUCCCAUGACAAUUCAGGGCAGUGGCCAAGUGCAAGGAAAUUCCARGGAUGCUCAAAGGCAUAUCUCAGGGGAGGAGCUUGGAAGAAAAUAUCAGGGAGUUUAUGUUUUAACAGGCUGCUCUCCAGAUAAUGGUGAGAAUUAGAGAGUUUUGUCCCCUUUCCAUUAUUUAGCUCAGUAUCUCUGUAGCAAUUAUCAGAAAGGAAGCACUGCACGGGAUAGGUGGGGCUUUAACAAACAACUGCAUGAUACAAAUUCAGAGACUGGCAAAUAUGGUCAGUGUAUCUUCUGAACUCACAUGACAGCACAUUCAGUCUGAG
RNAcentral lists this long non-coding RNA (688 nucleotides) under Apteryx owenii (little spotted kiwi). RNAcentral describes it as "lncRNA (ENSAOWG00000015961.1)". The record is from RNAcentral. Lineage: Eukaryota; Metazoa; Chordata; Aves; Apterygiformes; Apterygidae.